AAGGGCUUGUUGUUAAGAUGAAGAGUACGAGUAAGAUAGGGGUAGCAGGGGGCAAUGAUUUGAAUGAACACGGGGCAAGUGUCGACACAUGCAUUAGGGUUGAGUUCGAACCAAGCAGCGUUAGCAUUAAGGCGGUCAAGCUUUUCUAAAAUCAUGCCCCUAUGCCGCUUAAGGUUUGACCAAGUGAACUUACUAUCACUAAAACCUAGGUCGAUCAUGC
This 220-nucleotide long non-coding RNA is filed under the name Capsicum annuum. RNAcentral describes it as "long non-coding RNA (CANN_LNC012646)". The record is from RNAcentral. Lineage: Eukaryota; Viridiplantae; Streptophyta; Magnoliopsida; Solanales; Solanaceae.